RNAcentral lists this ribosomal RNA (468 nucleotides) under uncultured bacterium. RNAcentral describes it as "partial 16S ribosomal RNA". It matches the Rfam family "Bacterial small subunit ribosomal RNA", at positions 28 to 507 of the family's 1533-position model. The record is from RNAcentral.
GACGAACGCUGGCGGCGUGCUUAACACAUGCAAGUCGAACGGAAAGGCCCUGCUUUUGUGGGGUGCUCGAGUGGCGAACGGGUGAGUAACACGUGAGUAACCUGCCCUUGACUUUGGGAUAACUUCUGGAAACUGGGGCUAAUACCGGAUAUGAGCUCUUGCUGCAUGGUGGGGGUUGGAAAGUUUCGGCGGUUGGGGAUGUACUCGCGGCUUAUCAGCUUGUUGGUGGGGUAGUGGCUUACCAAGGCUUUGACGGGUAGCCGGCCUGAGAGGGUGACCGGCCACAUUGGGACUGAGAUACGGCCCAGACGCCUACGGGAGGCAGCAGUGGGGAAUAUUGCACAAUGGGCGGAAGCCUGAGGCAGCAACGCCGCGUGCGGGAUGACGGCCUUCGGGUGGUAAACAGCUUUCGCCUGUGACGAAGCGUGAGUGACGGUAAUGGGUAAAGAAGCACCGGCUAACUACGUG